ACAAAUUUUUUUUAAUCCUGAUUUUGUUUUAUUUUUUCCCAUUUCCUUAUUUCUACAGCUUGCCCAUCAACUUCAUGCCAGUCCUGGUCAGCCUCAUCUGAGGGAUCAGAAGCAGUGAAAACUGUCCAGUUUCUGGAUCUAGGACCUACAAGGAUGGUCACAGAUUCAGAUGACUUUUCUGUGGGAGGAAGAACCCGAACAAUCUUUCUGAGGCUAAGUGGAGAUGAUCUGGCCAUUACUGGAUUAAAUCUUUCUUCAAGCCCAAUCAGAUCUAUCUAUAUGACCUCCAAGCCUACUGAUGUCCAACCUGAACCUCCCCUGGCGCAGCCUGAGACUAUGUCCUCUUAUCCUGUUGCUGGUUGCCUGGG
This 368-nucleotide long non-coding RNA is filed under the name Manacus vitellinus (golden-collared manakin). RNAcentral describes it as "lncRNA (ENSMVIG00005005537.1)". Lineage: Eukaryota; Metazoa; Chordata; Aves; Passeriformes; Pipridae. The record is from RNAcentral.